Molecule: long non-coding RNA, 2215 nt
Filed under: Malus domestica (apple)
Lineage: Eukaryota; Viridiplantae; Streptophyta; Magnoliopsida; Rosales; Rosaceae
Description: long non-coding RNA (MDOM_LNC010517)
Source: RNAcentral
AUACCCUACUUACAUCUAUACUACAAUUGUCAAAAAGAGGGUUUAAUUUGUGUGUCAAGUAAUUCUCACAUCAGUAUCCCAUCAAAACGAUCGAUUCACUAACACUUAAAGUUUAUUUAUACUUUUAUUAAGUACAACAUAAGAUUUUGUGGUAUCCACUUAUGUAAAUAUUUUAAAUUGACGAUCAAAUUCAUUCAUUGUAUUUGUAUAGGGUCAAGGAGUGUAGUUGAAAAAAAUCAUCAAAAUCGGAGUUAAAAUAACCGUUAAAUCGUGAUUUGUUGUUUUAUAACCGUCAAAAAGUUUUGUCUCAUUUCUUGAUCUUUGAAUGUUUGUUUUUGUGAUUUUUGGCGAAUGUGAUCUUGAAGCAUAUACAAACAAGUUUGACGGUUGGAUUGUUAAAAUUAGUUUCAUAGAAUUCGUAUCCCAUCAAAACGAUACAUUCACUAACACUUGGAGUUUAUUUAUACUUUCAUUAAGUAUAACAUAAGAUUUUGUAGUAUCCACUUGUGUAAAUAUUUUAAAUUGACGAUCAAAUUCAUUCAUUGUAUUCAUAUAGGGUCAAGGAGUGUACUUGUAAAAAAUCAUCAAAAUCGGAGUUAAAAUAACCGUUAAAUCGUGAUUUUUUGUUUUAUAACCGUCGAAACGUUUUGUCUCAUUACUUGAUCUUUGAAUGUUUGUUUUUUGUGAUUUUUGGCAUAUGUGAUCUCGAAGCAUAUACAAACAAGUUUGACGGUUGGAUCGUUAAAAUUAGUUUCAUAUAAUUCGUAUCCUAUCAAAACGAUAGAUUCACUAGCACUGAGUUUAUUUAUACUUUCAUUAAGUAUAACAUAAGAUUUUGUGGUAUCCACUUGUGUAAAUAUUUUAAAUUGAAGAUCAAAUUCAUUCAUUGUAUUCAUAUAGGGUCAAGGAGUGUAGUUGUAAAAAAUCAUCAAAAUCAGAGUUAAAAUAACCGUUAAAUCGUGAUUUUUUGUUUUAUAACCGCCAAAAAGUUUUGUCUCAUUACUUGAUCUCUAAAUAUUUUUUUUGUUGUGAUUUUUGGCGUAUGCGAUCUCGAAGCAUAUACAAACAAGUGUGACGGUUGGAUCGUUAAAAUUAGUUUCAUAGAAUUCGUAUCCCAUCAAAACGAUAGAUUCACUAACACUUAGAGUUUAUUUAUACUUUCAUUAAGUAUAACAUAAGAUUUGGUGGUAUCCACUUGUGUAAAUAUUUUAAAUUGACAAUCAAAUUCAUUCAUUGUAUUCGUAUAGGGUCAAGGAGUGUACUUGUAAAAAAUCAUCAAAAUCGGAGUUAAAAUAACCGUUAAAUCGUGAUUUUUUGUUUUAUAACUGUCGAAAAGUUUUGUCUCAUUACUCUAUCUAUGAAUGUUUGUUUUUUCUGAUUUUUGGUGUAUGCAAUCUCAAAGCAUAUACAAACAAGUUUGACGGUUUGAUCAUUAAAAUUAGUUUCAUAGAAUUUGUAUCUAAUCAAAACGAUAAAUUCACUAACACUUAGAGUUUAUUUAUACUUUCAUUAAGUAUAACAUAAGAUUUUGUGGUAUCCACUUGUGUAAAUAUUUUAAAUUGAAGAUCAAAUUCAUUCAUUGUAUUCGUAUAGGGUCAAGGAGUGUACUUGUAAAAAAUCAUCAAAAUCGGAGUUAAAAUAACCGUUAAAUCGUGAUUUUUUGUUUUAUAACCGUCGAAAAGUUUUGUCUCAUUACUUGAUCUCUGAAUGUUUGUUUUUUGUGAUUUUUGGCGUAUGCGAUCUCGAAGCAUAUACAAACAAGUUUGAAGGUUGGAUCGUUGAAAUUAGUUUCAUAGAAUUUGUAUCUCAUCAAAACGAUAGAUUCACUAACAUUUAGAGAUAAUUUAUACUUUCAUUAAGUAUAACAUAAGAUUAUGUGGUAUUCACUAGUGUAAAUAUUUUAAAUUGAAAAUCGAAUUCAUUCAUUGUAUUCAUAUAGGGUCAACGAGUGUAGCUAUAAAAAAUCAUCAAAAUCGGAGUUAAAAUAACCGUUAAAUCACAAUUUUUUUGUUUUAUAACCGUCGAAAAGUUUUGUCCCGUUACUUGAUCUCUAAAUGUUUUUUUUUUGCAAAUUUUUGUUGAUGCAAUCUCGAAGCAUAUGCAAACAAGUUUAACGGUUGGAUCGUUGAAAUUAGUUUCGUGUAUCCCAUCAAGUUCAAUGGUGUGUGUAUAUAUAUUAUGUAGAUUUAAAUGUAUUUAUUUUGUAUGUAUAAUU